Molecule: long non-coding RNA, 257 nt
Filed under: Manacus vitellinus (golden-collared manakin)
Lineage: Eukaryota; Metazoa; Chordata; Aves; Passeriformes; Pipridae
Description: Prostate androgen-regulated transcript 1 conserved region 2 (ENSMVIG00005016408.1)
Rfam family: Prostate androgen-regulated transcript 1 conserved region 2
Source: RNAcentral
GUGCAUGCUGGGCUGUAAUUUAUGAAACGGAUCCCAGGAAACAGCCAAUCAUUUUGCUUCUCCUAACAAGUCCAACUGGCUAUGAAAAGCUGGAAGUGCUGCACAGAACAAUGAAGAGGAGCUAUCCCACAUAUUAAUCUGCUUAUCUAGGAUUGCCUUCUGUGUAGGGAGAGGGAAGUAUAUAAUAAGAGGAGGAAAAAAAAAAACGAAAGAAAAAUCACAGCUGCACUAUUAAAACAAUGGAAUACCUCUAAUUA